UGUCUGAUUAUCUAGUUGGUGAGGUAAAGGCUUACCAAGGCUUCGAUCAGUAGCUGGUCUGAGAGGACGACCAGCCACACUGGGACUGAGACACGGCCCAGACUCCUACGGGAGGCAGCAGUGGGGAAUUUUGGACAAUGGGGGAAACCCUGAUCCAGCCAUGCCGCGUGAGUGAAGAAGGCCUUCGGGUUGUAAAGCUCUUUCAGCCGGAACGAAACGGUCACGGUUAAUACCUGUGAUCACUGACGGUACCGGAAGAAGAAGCACCGGCUAACUACGUGCCAGCAGCCGCGGUAAUACGUAGGGUGCGAGCGUUAAUCGGAAUUACUGGGCGUAAAGCGUGCGCAGGCGGUUUUGUAAGUCAGAUGUGAAAUCCCCGGGCUCAACCUGGGAACUGCGUUUGA
RNAcentral lists this ribosomal RNA (404 nucleotides) under uncultured Nitrosospira sp. RNAcentral's name for it is "bacterial SSU rRNA". It matches the Rfam family "Bacterial small subunit ribosomal RNA", at positions 234 to 630 of the family's 1533-position model. The record is from RNAcentral. Lineage: Bacteria; Pseudomonadati; Pseudomonadota; Betaproteobacteria; Nitrosomonadales; Nitrosomonadaceae.